RNAcentral lists this ribosomal RNA (207 nucleotides) under uncultured bacterium. Its description in RNAcentral is "partial 16S ribosomal RNA". It matches the Rfam family "Bacterial small subunit ribosomal RNA", at positions 1294 to 1500 of the family's 1533-position model. The record is from RNAcentral.
CGGACUGUAGUCUGCAACUCGACUACACGAAGCCGGAAUCGCUAGUAAUCGCGAAUCAGAAUGUCGCGGUGAAUACGUUCCCGGGUCUUGUACACACCGCCCGUCACACCAUGGGAGUCGGAAAUGCCCGAAGUCAGUGACCUAACCGAAAGGGAGGAGCCGCCGAAGGUGGAGCCGGUAACUGGGGUGAAGUCGUAACAAGGUAGC